ACAGUCAGAUAUUGAUCAGCUGCUAGAUUGAGCAGAGCAAUAGCAAAUGGAAUUUAUUCCUGUUAACAUUGAAAGGCAUGGACGAGAGUAGAUUCUAAGGAUCUUUUCCCCAUGGCAGAUGUGUCUAAUACCAGAGGGCGUAAGUUUACGCCAUCUACAGUAAGAAAUUCCGGAGAUUUACUACCCUCUGAGAGAAGAAAAUCCUCCUCGUCUUUGUCCUAACUGGUCUACACCUUAUUCUGAAAUUAUGCCCUCUGGACCUAGACUUUCCUACAAGAGGUGCAGGGAAGACAUGCACAGGCAGAAUGUGAAGCACACUAGUGGUAUUCAUACCAGACAUAGAUGGAACACUCUGGGAGCUGCCGAGACCAGGGAUGCCUGGAAAGAAUGCAGUACCAUGUUUCCAUGUACAGAUGAAACUAAUUUUCCUGGCCUCAGGGAUCCAGGCUCAGAU
Molecule: non-coding RNA, 454 nt
Organism: Chiloscyllium plagiosum (whitespotted bambooshark)
Lineage: Eukaryota; Metazoa; Chordata; Chondrichthyes; Orectolobiformes; Hemiscylliidae
Source: RefSeq, a predicted model, not a curated record